GGGUUUCUUUAAAGCAUUGAUAUAAAAUAUAUAGCAGAGUGUUUUAAAAUUUGAGAGCUAUGCUGAAUUACUUUUCUAAUUCACUAAGAGGAUAUUUUUAUCAAAUUAUCUGAGCAGCCAAGCCUAGAGCAUUCCUACAUGAAGCUCCUUCAGUACAGAAGGCUGGAUAUAAAACCUGAAGACAAAGAGCAGGCUCUUGCCUUUUGCCAUCGACGGUCGUCUGGGUCUCUCAGAAGAACUCCAACAGCUGGUGCCUAAACGUGCGGCUCGAAGCUACAAGGGGCUCCCAGAAAGCUGGAAGAACCACACAUGGAGUGUUUGGCUGAGGAACCUCAUGCAGGCAUUGCUGCAAAGAAGCCCCUCGAAUGGCAGGCUGCUCCCAGAGAAGGUGACCACAUAUUCAUGGAAAGCCGACCCUGGAAACCGAGACUGGAAGCUCUUUUUUGCACUGAAAGGGUCAGUCUCAGGCAAAAGGAGUGACUGGGAAAGAAAGGAAAGAUUCGUCUGAACGCUGGAUUUUUGAGGUCCAUCUAAAAUAACAGACUCCUGGCUGGCUCAGCUGCCUUCUGUUAAACUGUGUGUAACCAAAUUUAGCAGGGGCUUUUUCUUCCACACAGCAGCUGAGGGUGCUGAUCUAACCAUCAUUUCACCAAGGUUUUGUUGAGAUGUGGAAGCUCCCUGUGGCAGAACUCAAAGCCGUUUGUUGUGGGGCUUUAUGCCAUCAACCCCUGCCUUUGAAUGAGCAGGAUGGACUGGUAGCUCGUUAUUUCGUGUGGUUGGCUGCUGGAAACACAAGUGGGCAUCCAAAACUGAUGGAUGCCAUUCCCAGCCUGUACUCAGCCUCAAUUAACACUGUUUCAAUAUUUUUAAAUACUUUCUUAAUGAAAUAUGACUAUUAGUGAUUGCACCUCAUGAGAUCACCUGGAGAGCUCAUGCCUACAGGAGAAACCUUCCUGCCACUGACAAGGGGAUUACAGAGCUCACCAUGGAUGAAAUGGGGGUAUUUCCAUCAGCCUAGGGGUUGGGAGAGGCUGGAGGAAAUUGCUAGGGAGUUUUUGAGGGCCUUACAGAGGAGACCCCCAGAUAUCGUGCAGCUGAAACUAAGCACAGCCUCAGCCACUGCCAUUGUCCAGAGCAAUGUGUAUUUUAUAUGAUUUAGAAAGA
This is a long non-coding RNA of Hirundo rustica (Barn swallow), 1164 nucleotides long. RefSeq lists it as uncharacterized. The transcript has 4 exons. NCBI's taxonomy places the organism in Eukaryota, Metazoa, Chordata, Aves, Passeriformes, Hirundinidae. The record is from RefSeq and is a predicted model, not a curated record.